UUUUCUUAUCUAAUUUAUAGCUUUUUUAACUUCAUGUGAAUAAAAAAGAAUUUUCUCCCUACUUUCCUACUCGACCCUUUUUAUCCCUAGUCGGGAGAGGCCUAGAGGGCAAGCAAAUAUUUUCUUAAAGAAAUAAAUAUUUUUUUCAGUUUUAGGGAAGGGAAAUUCUAUACUAUUAUAAACACAUUUUCUUAUUUCUAAAUCAUGUAAAUUUUCAUAAUCGUACUUUUAUUAUUUAAAAAUGUUUGUCCACAUAAGAAUAUGUAUUUUGUCAACAAAAUGGAGGGAAUCAAGAAGGGCUAAUAUGUAGGACUGUAUAGUCCAACUGCAGUUUUAAUUAUCCUCAAGUUAAAAUAAACUUAAUACAUUCUGACAAAAUUUGUGUAAAUAUUGUAAACAGAAACUUGCUUGAAAAGGCCUACCUAAGAUCUUGGCGGGAUGCACGCCAGAAAAGCCAUGGCAGCUGGCUUUCACCAAAUCCCCAACUUUAUACUGGCAAAACUCCUUUCUUGGAUCUUUGAUGCGUGAUAUGGUUAUGAUGCUGACCUUUUCUUCCUCUAUCCACUCCAUAAGGGCAUACAUGGUUCGUUGAACAAAGUAAUAAUAGAACCUUUCAACUUUCACCUUCUUGAACCGACGCUAUCUUGUUUGAAAAUGGAGAGCGGAGCCGAUUUGACCAAUCAGCGAUUAGAGGAAAUACCGGAAUCAAGGAAUUCAAAACCUUUAUGACUUCAAAUGAUUAAAAAUCGUAAAGUAUAUACGUGAGAUUUUUUUUAGUUAUUCAUCAGUUUUGCUGAAAUUGAUCAGGAACAAUCAAACGUAUUUUUAUUUUUACGUAAAUACCCGAUUCGCACACUUCCGGUUAUUCCGGAUGUAAACGAAGAAGGCGCCAUUUUAAAAACAAAGAUUGAAAUAAAAUUAAAAGCGAAACACUCGUCACUGCUCCGAAGCUAUGUACCCUCACAAACGUGGUAGCUACCAGGUUUUCCAUGCCGAUAAGUCUAAUCCAACACUCAAAGUAUCCCUUUGGCGAAUGCAACAAGGAAAAGACAACAUUUCAUCAGAAAAUUUCGACAAUCGAAGUGUGGCGUGUGAAACUGCUGGCCCUGUCGCCAUUAUGAUUAUCGAUGCCUUUCAUGAGAAAUCAUUUAACCAGUUGCUUCAAGAUGUUGCUGAAGAACCUGCUUUCUUGCCAUAUCAUAUAUGUUGACGGAGAUUCAGAAUGAGACAAAGAGUUUGAUAUAUGAUCCUACACCUGACAGAAAAAGUUGAGGAUCUUGGACCACUUUGGUGCUCAUCUUGUUUCUAUUUUGAGGAUUGUAAUGGAUAAUUGAGAUGCCUUUUCCAUGGCAUCCAACAUAUUGAAACCCAAAUAGCAUUUGCGGUUUGUGUUCAUCAGCAGCUACUGACGUUGUCCCAAGCUCUGAAGUUUGACAGCAGUGAAAGGGAACAGACAGGGUUGCUGUUAUUGGAGCCUAUGUAAAAGACCUUUGAAAUCUGAGGAACAAGCAGUCCUUUUGACCUUAGCUGGAGAGUAGGUCCGUGUGGUUUUCUUCAAAAGACUACUUGUGGACGAACAGGUUGAGACAACAAAAUAAUUCGAUUCAAGGAAACGUUCAUUGGGAGAUUAGAAACUUUUGUUAAAGUAACAGGACAUGACUACAAAUGAAAAACUUUGUUUUGUUUUCACAGUUCCUAACAGGAUUGAACAGGAAUAUAACAUGAACAUGUUCAAUGUCCAGAACAGAGACAUCAUUUAACAGUCAUACCUUGUUUUGUGUCACAUUUACCAAUGAGAUUUGAAUAUAGAAAUAUUUUUUGAUACUUUUUUGGAAAAGACGUUUUUAUAUAUAUGCCUUAAUUUGAUUUUGAUAGACUAUGCAUACCUAAAUUGAUGAAUAGUGUCUCUUUUAACAUGGAACAGAAGUCCAUAUGGACUUAUUUUUAAUAAAUACUGUGACAUAUCUCA
Molecule: long non-coding RNA, 1969 nt
Organism: Ostrea edulis (European flat oyster)
Lineage: Eukaryota; Metazoa; Mollusca; Bivalvia; Ostreida; Ostreidae
Exons: 2
Source: RefSeq, a predicted model, not a curated record